This 492-nucleotide ribosomal RNA is filed under the name uncultured bacterium. RNAcentral's name for it is "partial 16S ribosomal RNA". It matches the Rfam family "Bacterial small subunit ribosomal RNA", at positions 29 to 507 of the family's 1533-position model. The record is from RNAcentral.
AGUGAACGCUGGCGGUAGGCCUAACGCAUGCAAGUCGAACGGCAGCACAGUAAGAGCUUGCUCUUACGGGUGGCGAGUGGCGGACGGGUGAGGAAUACAUCGGAAUCUACUUUUUCGUGGGGGAUAACGUAGGGAAACUUACGCUAAUACCGCAUACGACCUACGGGUGAAAGCAGGGGAUCUUCGGACCUUGCGCGAUUGAAUGAGCCGAUGUCGGAUUAGCUAGUUGGCGGGGUAAAGGCCCACCAAGGCGACGAUCCGUAGCUGGUCUGAGAGGAUGAUGAGCCACACUGGAACUGAGACACGGUCCAGACUCCUACGGGAGGCAGCAGUGGGGAAUAUUGGACAAUGGGCGCAAGCCUGAUCCAGCAAUACCGCGUGGGUGAAGAAGGCCUUCGGGUUGUAAAGCCCUUUUGUUGGGAAAGAAAAGCAGCAGGUUAAUACCCCGCUGUUCUGACGGUACCCAAAGAAUAAGCACCGGCUAACUUCGUG